This 65-nucleotide transfer RNA is filed under the name Siphonodentalium lobatum. RNAcentral describes it as "tRNA-Cys". Lineage: Eukaryota; Metazoa; Mollusca; Scaphopoda; Gadilida; Siphonodentaliidae. The record is from RNAcentral.
GAGUCAGUAAUUAAAUUAUAAUAUUAGAUUGCAAAUCUGAAAUUGGGACACUUACCCCUGACUAA